Zingiber officinale is the source of this 2209-nucleotide RNA transcript. It is a transcript of the gene named P-loop guanosine triphosphatase YjiA-like, with no coding region annotated. Lineage: Eukaryota; Viridiplantae; Streptophyta; Magnoliopsida; Zingiberales; Zingiberaceae. The transcript is spliced from 11 exons. The record is from RefSeq and is a predicted model, not a curated record.
UUUAUAUUUGGAUUCUUUUGACGAAAAACCCUACUCUUGUUCUUCGCUUCAGGUAGCGCCAUGGCCGCGAGGUUUCUCCUUUCCAGAGCAUCCCUAAACCUACGUUCCUCCCCCUCUCACUUCGGUUCGAGUUUCCCGUCGGCCGCCGCCAACGCCUUCUGCGACUUGUUCCGACCCUUCGGUGGUCGGACCGUUCCUCCGGCCUCUUCAAGGUCCAUGGUCUCCGUCUCAUCUCCAUGGCUCGACCUCGCCGAGGACAUCUCCCCUUCUCUGGACGUCGACGGAAGGGUUCCCGCCACUGUUAUCACUGGAUUCCUUGGUUCCGGAAAGACAACAUUACUGAACCACAUCUUGACCUCACAACAUGGGAAGAGAAUUGCUGUCAUUGAGAAUGAGUUUGGGGAGGUGGAUAUUGAUAGUUCAUUGGUUGCUAAUCAUUCUUCUGUUUCCGAGGACAUUGUUAUGGUUAACAAUGGUUGCCUCUGUUGCACUGUGAGAGGAGAUUUGGUUAAAAUGCUUUUGAAGCUUGCUAAAGAAAAGCGUGACAAGUUUGACCACAUAGUUAUAGAGACAACAGGACUUGCAAAACCUUCUCCUGUUAUAGAAACUUUCUAUACAGAUGAUUUGGUUGCACAGCAUGUGAAACUUGAUGGUGUUGUUACUUUGGUGGAUUCUAAGCAUGCUAUGAAACAUUUGAAUGAAGUUAAAUCGAGAUGGGUUGUGAAUGAAGCGGUAGAACAAGUUGCAUAUGCAGAUCGUAUUAUAUUAAACAAGACAGAUUUGGUGAAUGAGACUGAAUUGGAUGCACUAGCUAAGAAAAUCAAGCACAUAAAUGGGAUGGCACAAAUUAAACAAGCGCAAUUUGGAUCUGUGGAUAUAGAUUUCGUUUUGGGAAUAGGUGGAUAUGAUUUGGACCGAAUUGAAUCUGAUGUUCAGAUUGAUGUCAGCCAUAACACUAGUCAUCAAUGCAGCCAUGAUCAUGAUCACCAUAGGGAUCAUCAUCAUGGUCAUGUGCACGAUUCAGCUGUAACUAGCGUCAGUAUAGUUUCUGAGGGGACUUUGGAUCUCGAUGAGGUUAACGACUGGCUUGAGAGACUAGUCGAUGAAAAAGGUGAAGACUUGUACAGGCUGAAAGGUGUCCUAUCAGUAAAUGACUCGACCGGCCGCUAUGUAGUUCAGGGGGUGCACUCCAUGUUGGACGGCUGUCCUGCAAAGCCAUGGGGGGAAGGUGAGAAGCCGAUCAACAAACUUGUGUUCAUCGGUAGGAACUUGGACGAGACGGCUUUGCGAAAUGCCUUCAGGGGGUGUUUGCUAUAGAUGAAACUUCUCAAAGAUGGCCUUGUUUUUGGUAGCAUGUUGUCAUAAUUUUCAUAUUUAUAUUAUUUAAAAACAAUUUGGUCUCAUCUUUUAUUCAUUUUAUUAGAUUUACAGAAAUUAUUCAUACAUAAAAUAUAGCAACGGAAGCAAUUCACUGAUAACCCAGCGGCGCCGGUGUAUCCUUCAGCUCCAUUCCCUGGCAAUGUAUGUCCUGCAAUCCCCAACAUCACAUGAACAACCAUAUCAUUCGUUGAAUGAAUAGGUGAAGCACGCAAUUAAAUGGGGAAUUUUAACGAUCUUAAAGUUUCGAGGAAGUGAGAUUAUCGGUAGCGUACCGAGGCGAAGUGAUUGACGUCGCGGUGGUGCGCCUCGUCUGCUCGGAUGACGGCGACGACGUCCUUGAGGGUGGCUUCGGGCGGGAGGCACCAGUAGUCGAUGGCGAUGGCGGGGGCGGGGACGUUCUCGACGGCGCCGGCCUCGAGGUCCUUGAGGUAUUCGGUGUAGGAGUAGACGGCCUCCUCCUCCAGGUAUCCGACGACUCGGUGGGCGAAUUUGGGCGACACCAGGUAGCCCACAAAGUAGGCGUUGAAAAGGACGCCCUGCACCGCCAGGACCAGCGCCCGCUCGUACCACCGCGGCCGCGCCACCUCCAUGAACGUCAUCAGGUGCAUCCGCUCGUUCUCCGCCUCCUCCAGCAGCGCCCGGAUCCACCCACCGCUGUGCUCGAAGCGGCGAAGCGAGCGUAGGUGGAGUAGCAUGCCUCCCACCAUCCCCGGCACCGCCGCUACCGUCUCCAGCAACAGCGCAUGGUAUACAUGUCGCCUCUGUUUCCAGACCAAGAUUAACCAUAAAUAAAUAAAUAAAAUCUUCCCAAAUUUUGGGAAGGGACCAA